CCCAAAUCCCGUCUACGGCCUACCUCGCCAACGGCCAGUGCCUGCCAGAACCCUCGAUCGUCUCCUUCUGUGCGUCGGAGGUGGUGGUGCACAUAGGAGAGACGGCACACGAAAGGUGCUCAUGGAGGUCACGACCGAGGGCCGCACUUGGCCGGCAACAGACUAUGCGCACGGCGGGAGGUGGCCAAUUUUCACUGCUGGCUAACCUAUUCGGCUCACCCCAUGGAGGUGGACAGCCAUUGGGAGGUCACGGCCGUUGCGAGAGGUUGGGUGGAGGCACAGCGGGGCUUCAACGUUCUUGCCUCUGGACUGCCCGGACGAUCAUCCGUGGCUUUUAUGGUUCCGCUGCCUGGAGGCGUUCGUCACCGGGCGAGGUCGGCCUUGCUCCCAUUGCUGCUGUCCAUGGCGGCCGAGAUGGACAUGGCAAACUACGGCUAUGUCGCAUCCUUGCCGUGGUGAGAUGAGCCGAGGCAAGGAAGGUGGAGCGCACGGGAGCACUUGAAGGGAGGAGAUGAUGAAACAGCCGACCUGCUGGAUGCGUGGGGCCGGAGAACCAAAGUAGCAUCAAGAAUAGUAGAUCUUUCCCGUAGUUGGGCGACUAUUUUGUCACACGCAAGAGCUUCUGCGCUUGGCCGAACACCGGGGCUCCUCGACUGUGCGGAGGUGUUCAAGAAUCGAGACCCACGCAUACUAUGAUUUGAGCAUCGGUGUCCGGCAGACCGGCACCAUCAGUUUCCCUCAUCCAUGCCUUCAACGAGCCAUCCGUGUCCGACUCCCUCUUCCUUGCAAUCGGUGAGUUCAGCAUACAAUCUUCAGAUUAACAAGCUUCUAUGUACUGAUGUUCUAGACAAACAAUGACAAUGAUGACUUAUUGUUCUUAGUACUAACUAACGUUUCGCCGAACAAAAAUACCGUUGUUGCUUCUUGAAAGUUUUUUCUGGUUGUUUUCAGUCUUGGGUACAUGAGGAUCUCAUGUCACAAUCUGAAAAGUGUGUCAAUUAAUUUAUGCUAAUUCUUCACCCCCGCUGAGUAAGAUGUAGUCAUUGGUGGCGCGUAUUGGGUACAACUUUGGCGAGGGAUGCCCAAAAUGUACUUGUAGGACUCCUGUUAUGUUUUGAUUUAGCUUGCAUUGAUUGUUUUGCGCAGGUGUAGUCUAAUAUGUAGCUGUCAAGGUUUGUCCUGCUCUAGUUUUUGCUGUGAAAAUACAGAGAAGAAUACAUGGCUGGGCUGGUGGCCCCCCGUCAGAUUUCGGCCCUUGCCACAUACGGCAUAGUUCAGCAACUCGAUAUGCUUAGAUUAUCCCAUAAUUUACAACCAAAACAUUAACAAAACGGUCGUCUUUUUGCAGGAAAAAGAGAUAGCACAGCUCCUGUUGGCGUGUGGCCCACCCUCUGUCCACUGUUUCUCCUGUAAGUUCCCAAUCAUACUCAAGACUCUUUCUUCUCCAUUGCUUCUGGUAUGAAUUCCAAGAAAACUUAUGUGAUAUUCUUUCGAAUUUUAUGAAUUUAUUAGAAGUACAUAUUUCCUAUUCCUGACAUUACUUUGAUUUUUAUAAGAUGUAAUGCUAAAAUUGCAUGGAGAAGUCUACACCGUGCGCAAUUUUCUCGACGAUCACCGUUUUGUGAAAACAGGGUUGUACAGGGGGACAAUCUUUCUGAAGUUCAGCUUGGCCAGGCUCCACCUUUAUUUCUUUUAGUAUGUUGGAUGAUUGUAACUAGAACACUGAUUUGAUGCAAUAAAGCUCCCUUUAACCCAAUAA
Long non-coding RNA from Triticum aestivum (bread wheat), 1759 nucleotides. RefSeq lists it as uncharacterized. The transcript has 2 exons. NCBI's taxonomy places the organism in Eukaryota, Viridiplantae, Streptophyta, Magnoliopsida, Poales, Poaceae. The record is from RefSeq and is a predicted model, not a curated record.